AAAAAUAAGAAGAUGAAGACUUUACAUGAUUUUUUUUAUGAAAAAUCUACAAAACCUAAUUCUGAUGACAUUGAUCCAGAUGAUCCAUUAAUAUUGACACCUAGCACAAGUGAUGUAGUAAAAACUGUGCAUCAAAUAAAAGAAGUACCUGGUAUGAAUUAAAUAGUAAAAUAUUAAAUAAUAAAUAAACUUUGAAGUUUGAGUAUAAUUUCUGCAGUUGGAAAUUUAAUUAAUCUUAUAACCAGUGAAAAUGAAUACGUUUGUUUAUCAAAUACAUUUGACAUUAAUAUCGACGAUUUAAAAAGUGAAAUCAAACUACUGAAAAAUUUUUCAAACACAGAAAUGCCUAAAGGUACAUCAACGGUAACUAUAACACAGUGGCUUCAAAGUUCAAUGGCUAAAUCAUUCUGACAGAGCAGAUAUUUUUAUUAACUUCAAUAAAGCAUUACAAUUAUUUACUACAAUCCCUGUAACAAGUUGUUCAUGCGAGAGAGCAUUUUCCAAGCUUAACAUUGUAAAGUCAAAACUUCGGGCUAGUAUGGAUCAAGAGCGUCUUGACAGCUUAUUUUUUAUGAAUAUUGAACAAGAAGUAUGCACAAAAAUUGAUUAUGGGGAAAUAAUCGAAGAAUUCAAGACAUUAGGUCCAGGAAAUCGACGAUUAGUCUUAUAACUAUUUGUUAGGUGGUUUAGUGUACUUAUUAUAUGUAGUAAUGUGUAAUUCUGUAUAAAUAUAGUCUUUUUUUAUUUUAACCGUA
Long non-coding RNA from Acyrthosiphon pisum (pea aphid), 755 nucleotides. RefSeq lists it as uncharacterized. The record is from RefSeq and is a predicted model, not a curated record. The transcript has 2 exons. NCBI's taxonomy places the organism in Eukaryota, Metazoa, Arthropoda, Insecta, Hemiptera, Aphididae.